GUGCAUGUGAUGAGUUACUCGGAUUCCCCUUCAAGACUUCUUGGAUGAUGUAGACCCGAGAUACUGACUGAUGCA
This is a small nucleolar RNA of Medicago truncatula (barrel medic), 75 nucleotides long. It matches the Rfam family "Small nucleolar RNA snoR60". From Rfam's summary of the family: snoR60 is a member of the C/D class of snoRNA which contain the C (UGAUGA) and D (CUGA) box motifs. Most of the members of the box C/D family function in directing site-specific 2'-O-methylation of substrate RNAs. NCBI's taxonomy places the organism in Eukaryota, Viridiplantae, Streptophyta, Magnoliopsida, Fabales, Fabaceae. The record is from Rfam.